Molecule: RNA transcript, 2167 nt
Organism: Aegilops tauschii subsp. strangulata
Lineage: Eukaryota; Viridiplantae; Streptophyta; Magnoliopsida; Poales; Poaceae
Source: RefSeq, a predicted model, not a curated record
AGCCUCUCCUGCCGCGCCGCGUGCGCGCGCUCACGUCGUGGGGACGUGCGGGCCUGUAGUUGGGCGUGGGCGUGAACCCUAGCCCCCCAGUGCCCAGCCGCCACACCCCUGACCCCUCCCUCCUCACUCCCUCGCCACACCGUCGCACCAUCUCCCUCCUCCCUCCUCCCUCAUCACCAGCCGCCGCAACAGGGGAUUUGCGGCCCCUCCAUCAUCACCAGCCGCAGCACCAGGAGAUUUGCCGCCGCCGAGAUCCAGCGUCUUGCAAGGUCCUCGGGUCAGCCUUGUCGCGCCCGCCACUCUGUCGACCAGAUAUGCGCCCUUGACUCCCUCUUCUCUCGCGUCGCGCGGUGCCUGCUGCUCCACCAUGCCACAGUUAACUCGUGGAUGACAGGGCCAUGGACCGGUCCUUAAGGAGAGAAGGAAGAUGAGGGAGAGAGAAGGAAGGAGAGGAGGGAGAAGGAGAGAGGAAAGAGGAGAGUUUGCCACAAAAAUCUUGCUGAGUGUACAGAUCUGAGGAUGAAGAGAAGAAGAAGAAUUUAGCUGAAGGGGUGAAGAAAAUCAAGGUACAGAGUUUAUGGUUACUGAAAUAGGAUAAUAGAGAGUCACAGCUUCAGUUUUCAAUUACAGUAGUUGAUGUGUUAUGUUUGCUGCAAUGUGUCAUGUGUGUUUGAGAGAGAGGGAUGAAAAAGAGGGGACUGGAAGCUUGAUCAUUGCCAGGAUCUGGAUUCAGAGAGAGGGGUGAAAAAGAAGGGACAUGGAUUCAGAGAGGGAUGAAAAGAGGGGACUGAAAGAUCUUGCAUUGCGUUUCUUCAUCUACCAAUACGGUUUUGUGUACCAUUUGAACAUAACCAAGUAGUAUAACCAAAGUGUGCUGGUUUAUGGCUUCUCAUGGGAUGAAGGCUGAGGUGAGCAUCAUGAAGAUGAGCAGGCGAGUGGCUGAUACAGAGAGCUCCUCGAACGGGGAAGCAGCAUUGUUGGAGGAACUCGAAGAUGAGAAGGUUCCGAAGUCAUGCCUUUGCCUUACUGUUGUGCUGAUACUGGAUGCAACAUUGUGGACCUCUGGUUCGAGCAUGGCCAGCAUGGCCACGGAUUGUAGGGGAGGAAUGUAUUGCCUAAUGAGUUGUAUGCUUUCUUCAGAUCCUCUGUGCUCCCUGUCACAUCUGGCUUGGCCACCUACAGAUUCUUGGGUCCAGGUUCCUGAUCUGAAGCGGAGGAACACGAGGCCGCAUCCAUUAAGUGGCAGAAGGGGGUUGCAACGAUUUUCUUCAGUCUGACAAUCAUAUAGUAAUUAGACGGUGUAGUACUAUGGCGGUGGUAUACUGAUUUGGUGUAAGAAUCACUAACAUGACUUUGCGUGUACAAAUCUUACAGACUUGCUGUUUUUUGUUCAGUUGAAGGGCCCUCCAGGCUUAAGAUCUUUCGAGGAUAAUUGCGUCAUUGAAUCUGAAGGUUAUGCGAUCUCCUAUGUUGCUGCAUGUUGAUCUUCUGUUUUGUUGUAACUCUGUUUUGCUGCUCGAGGACAAUUUCCUGGAUUAAUAUCUAUACUGGAGAUCCAGGAGUCCACCCGAAUUCAGUCUCCAAGAAGCCUUUCAUCCAGGAUGCACCAAAAUUCUAAUGUUAUGUGAAAAGCGUGUGUGCUAGAUGUGGCCACUGUCCAGCGUUUUGAUUUGUCCACUCAGGUGCUUUUGUCUAGGUGGUAACACAACAAGCUGCUUAUCUUGUAGAUACUUAUCAUAUGUACAAUCCUAUGUUCGUUCUGUAUGCAUGUUAGAGCAGGAGCUUCUGCCCCUAUGUGAGUUAUCCUAUGGGAAUUAGCAACUUUGCCUGUACUUUCGAGUGGGCUGAAUCCAAUGCAAGUUUUUGGAGCAGUUGGGUUCCAGAACAAACGACUAGGUAUUCCCAAAGAGGUCAAUCCACUGGUGGCUAGCAUAAUAUCUUCAUGUUGGGACAACGAUCAAAGCAAACAACCAUCGUUCUACCAGCUCUUGUCAUCGCUGAAUAAAUUACAGUGGUUACUUGUUACAGAAAGCCUAUGACAAUUUGCGAGUGUUGUUUGUGCAUUUUACUGGUUUUAUGGCAGGUGCAUGUUUGAAUUCAGAUGGCAGUGGUCUCCUUGUUUACAGUUAUAAGAAUAAUAAAAAUAUUGAUAAUGGUCUUUCCACUA